UCGCACUGUUAAUUCUUCCCUUAAUCUUCUUCAAAAACUAAAAUUCCCUUCCGAGGUAAUCUUCCUCGAAUCAAUCUCGGCCCGAGUCCGCAAAUUCGUAAAUGAAUCGAUUUAAAUUAGGUUUAGAUUGUAUUGACAACUUCUUCAAGAUUUAGAUCUUUAGAUUUAGAUCUUUUAACAAACUGACGAACUUUCCAUUAUAGCUUCCGAUGGUUCGAUAGGACGAUAAUCUGCGUUUCGUAGGAGGAUCGUUAAUUCAAAACAACGCAACGGCCAGAAACACACUGAACUGCUUGCCAGCGAUCUUCGAGGAUUAAUAUAACCUUCGAGGCGUUUGCGUGAUCACGCGUUUGUCUAUGUGAAUAAACGUAUCGCGCCGGGAGUAUAAUUAGUCCGGACUGCGAAUGCUGAUUUCGUGUGUUUGGCAAUCAAGCUAUCGCCAUCUUUUUACGACCCUUUCACGCCUCAUAUUUUAUCCCGUAAAGUACCUGUCCACCCUUGUUCGAAACCACUUCACUUUAUCAUCGUCUUUCUUAUUGGGAAAAACACAAAGUACAUUCUCGCUCAAACAUCUUCGAAUAAUUAUUGUACCUGCUUUAAAGUCAGAAGAAUUAAGUAAAUAAUGAGGUGGAUAAUAAAGUAGCUAAUAAAGGUUAAAGUGGGGAAGAAAUUUCAAUUAGAAACGGUAGUGUUGCAGCUACAUCGUUUAUGUAAUUCCUUCCUCCAGAAGACAAAAAAAAAAAAAAGAAAAAAGGAAGAAAAAGGAACAGAAAAGAAAAGAGAAAGGAAAAAAAGAACGACGAGGAUGGUAUUGUGUUUCUCAUUAAGCUCGACCAACACCGAACGAAUCUUCCAUUGAAAAAAGCUUUUAUCCUUUUUGCCCUCGUUUAAGAUGUUAUUAAAAAAUAUUUCUCACUGGACUUGCUCCCUUAACACAUUCACCGCUACCAAAAUACAACAUGCUUAACUGUGAAAUGGAUUUCUUUUUCCCUCGAAAUGAAUUGAAAAAUGUAAAUAAUAAUUUUUGUCUUGACACACUGUGACUCGGUUCGUUCUUUGUCUUUAUGUCAACGAAACGUUAGAAAAGACAAAAAUGUGGCAAUUACGUAAGCAGAAUUAUUUUCUUGGAGAUAAUUGAAUCAACGCAACGUAUACGUCGGAACGUGUUGAAAGUGACGUUUGCAAUAACUGAACUACGUUAAACGAGAGAAUAAGUUAAUCGUCAAGCUCGUCGAUGAGUUAUCGAGGCCAUCGGCCACACGUGGAUCGAGCGGUGGUUAUUCGGUGCCUCAAUGUUUAAUAAUAUCGAAGUGGAGAGAUGGAGAAAAAAGAAAAAAAAAGAAAGAAAAGGAGAAGUUGCUAAUGGAAGCGUACGGCGAACCUUGGGUGUAUAAAAAAUUCACGACAGAACUUUUCCAACGCAGAGGCAAAUGAAAUUAAGUCGUCUUUUGAUAAUCCAUUAAUUAACUUCCCACUAAAAAAUCAAUAGUUGGCCGUAGUUUUUAAUAAAAAAAAUGGAGGACGAAUUUAAUGCCAGUGUCUGUCAAAUUCGCACCCUUAGAGCAUCGAAAUUUCAAAGUGGUUAAUAGUCAAUGAAUUUUAUAUAUAGGACGCUGGCUGUUUUUAAUAGCCAGCGCAAUUCACAUUCUUGAGACGCCUCUAUUGUGCGAAUGAUAUGCACAUGCAAUUUGCGAUAGACAGCUCAGUUAUUGAUAUCACAGACUGUACUCAACAUAGGAUGAAAUUUUAUUAUAGUUUUCGCAAAUAUACAAGUUCUUGCUACAGGUUUCACUGCUGAAUAAAUUUUCCUAUUUCUGUUUUAAUACAGUCUUUAGGUUAUGCAUAUUUGGAUACACGUUCGAUACUUUAUAUUAUUAUUAUAAAAUUAAGGAUACUAAAAGCUA
Bombus huntii is the source of this 1904-nucleotide long non-coding RNA. RefSeq lists it as uncharacterized. The transcript has 2 exons. The record is from RefSeq and is a predicted model, not a curated record. Lineage: Eukaryota; Metazoa; Arthropoda; Insecta; Hymenoptera; Apidae.